Molecule: ribosomal RNA, 456 nt
Filed under: uncultured bacterium
Lineage: Bacteria
Description: bacterial SSU rRNA
Rfam family: Bacterial small subunit ribosomal RNA
Source: RNAcentral
UACGGAAGGCAGCAGUGGGGAAUAUUGCACAAUGGGCGCAAGCCUGAUGCAGCCAUGCCGCGUGUAUGAAAAAGGCCUUCGGGUUGUAAAGUACUUUCUAGUCGUGAGGAAGGUGUUAAGGUUAAUAACCUUAGCAAUUGACGUUAGCGACAGAAGAAGCACCGGCUAACUCCGUGCCAGCAGCCGCGGUAAUACGGAGGGUGCGAGCGUUAAUCGGAAUUACUGGGCGUAAAGGGCACGCAGGCGGUUAAUUAAGUUGGAUGUGAAAUCCCCGGGCUUAACCUGGGAAUGGCAUUCAAGACUGGUUAGCUAGAGUCUUGUAGAGGGGGUAGGAAUUCCAUGUGUAGCGGUGAAAUGCGUAGAGAUGUGGAGGAAUACCGGUGGCGAAGGCGGCCCCCUGGACAAAGACUGACGCUCAUGUGCGAAAGCGUGGGGAGCAAACAGGGAUUAGAUACC